RNAcentral lists this long non-coding RNA (768 nucleotides) under Zonotrichia albicollis (white-throated sparrow). RNAcentral describes it as "lncRNA (ENSZALG00000008028.1)". The record is from RNAcentral. Lineage: Eukaryota; Metazoa; Chordata; Aves; Passeriformes; Passerellidae.
UUUAUAUAUGUAUAUAAAAUGUAUAAGGCUAUAAAUAACAAAUUUUCUUUUUUCCCCUCCCUUCCUUCAGGAGAGCUGUGCUUGAUGGGAAAAGAGCCAUAGUUCUCAAGCCUGACUGGCCAAAGGUACUGAGCAGAGAGAGAAGGCGAGGAAGGAUCUGCCAGAGAAAAAGGACCGAAAUUCCUCCAAAUCCCCCCCAGGGAAUUGCCGGGAGCAGAAAGGAGCAGCGAGGGAGAGGAGGAGGAGCCGGGAUGAGCCCGAGGGGGCGGAAAUGCAGGAAAAGGUGACCGAGCCCCAGAGGGCAGAAGGCAAAGGUUCCACGCUGGAGCAGCCUCCGAGUGAGUUUUAUUUUGCUUUUUUUUCCUUUUAAUCAAGUCUGAGCCACUUCUUCCUCUGCUGUGCCGUAAUUAAUGACCAGAAGUUAAUUUCCUGUCAUUUCCACAACAAUGAGCAAUCAGCUUUUACUUCUUCCUUUGACACUUCUCUGUUUCUGUCUCAAUUCCUCAGUGCUUUUGCAAUUUCAAUCUCCUUGACUGAAUCCAGAACUGAAACUGGAAUUAAAGAGUAAAAUCUGAAAAUGCUUUCCCUCCUCCUGACAAAUUAAACAGGAAUUCUUUAUUUCAAUAUUUACAAUUCAUUUGUGGUUAACAAAUGCUCCAUCAAAAAAUAAUUCUGCAGGUGUAGAGGAAAGAGGCCAUGAAAUAUUUGUCAGGGUGGAUUUUUAGCUGCAGACUUGCAGAGUUGUGUGGUUUCUUGCUCAUGUUUGGG